This 1011-nucleotide long non-coding RNA is filed under the name Gossypium raimondii (Peruvian cotton). RNAcentral's name for it is "long non-coding RNA (GRAI_LNC005356)". The record is from RNAcentral. Lineage: Eukaryota; Viridiplantae; Streptophyta; Magnoliopsida; Malvales; Malvaceae.
AGUGGUCGAGUAGCCGAUUUAGCAGUCGACAACAUCUGAGGUAAGUCUAUAAGCAUAUAAAUGUCAUUAAAUUUGAUAAUAUAUAUAUGUUACAUGUUGGGUGGAAUUUUUGUGAAUAUAUUUGUGUAUGGCCGAAUGUAUAUUGAGCAAAUGAGCUAUAUUCGAGUUCGACGAUCGAGAUACAUUGUCCGAAAGUCCCGUACGAACCUUAGGAAUAGAUAGGAUACAUAUGUCAUGACAUAGGAUUUUCGAUAUGUGUUAUCGUGUAAGACCACUUCUGGGACGUUGGCAUCGACUUGUGUUUACGUGUAAGACCCUGUCUGGGACAGUGGCAUCGAUAUGUGAUUACAUGUAAGACCACGUCUGGGACAUUGGCAUUGUACGAGUUUCCAACUAUCCGUGUAUCCUUUUUAAUUCCGAGUGGUUAACGGGCAAUGUUAAGUGAUAACCGAAUGUGAAGUCGAAUUAAUAAUGUUCAGGUAUGUAUUUAUAUCAUGCUAUGAAAUUUAAGGUAAGUUGUAUAUUGAAUUGAUGAUUCAAAGUUGAUUGAUAUAUGAAUAAUGUGUGAGCAUGUUCAUAGUUAUAAGUGAUUUGGUGGUAUAGGGAAAUAUGCCUAUUAUCAUAGUUUUUAAUUAUAAAAUGCUAAGUAUACAAGAAUUUGAGUAUUUGUGCCUUGAGUUUUUAUAAAGUUCAAUGUUUACUUAUAUUUGAUUUGGUUGGCUUGGUAAAGUAGUUUGAUAUUAACGUAAAAAUGAAAAUGAAUAAGGUUUGCUUAUGACUUACUAAGCUUAAAUAGCUUACUGUGUGUAUAUUGCUUUUCAAUUUUUUUUUUAGAUUUUGGAGGUUGGUUACGAGCUCGGGGACCGUCAACAAAGUCUAUCACACUAUCGACAUCUUUUGGGUACUUUGAUAAAUUUUUAAACUCGAUAUUAUGGGAUGUAUAGGCUUGCUUAUGUUUUUGGUUAGUUUUGGAAUAUGUAUAUAAAUGGCCAUGUGAAAAUGGCUCAUCUU